CCUACGGGCGGCUGCAGUAGGGAAUAUUGGACAAUGGGCGAAAGCCUGAUCCAGCCAUGCCGCGUGAUAGAUGAAGGCCCUCUGGGUUGUAAAUAUCUUUUAUCUGGGAAGAAACAAUCUUAUUCUUAAGAUCUUGACGGUACCAGAGGAAUAAGCACCGGCUAACUCCGUGCCAGCAGCCGCGGUAAUACGGAGGGUGCAAGCGUUAUCCGGAUUCACUGGGGUUUAGGGGUGCUGAGAAGUCAUUAGUGAAAGUUCCGAGCUUAACUUGGAAACUGCCAUUGAUACUGCCAAUCUUGAAUGUCGUAGAGGUAAGCGGAAUGUUGCAUGUAGCGGUGAAAUGCUUAGAUAUGUUACAGAACACCAAUUGCGAAGGCAGCUUACUAUGCGAUGAUUGACGCUGAGGCACGAAAGCGUGGGGAGCAAACAGGAUUAGAUACCCGGGUAGUC
Molecule: ribosomal RNA, 450 nt
Filed under: uncultured bacterium
Lineage: Bacteria
Description: partial 16S ribosomal RNA
Rfam family: Bacterial small subunit ribosomal RNA
Source: RNAcentral